Molecule: long non-coding RNA, 2425 nt
Filed under: Helianthus annuus (common sunflower)
Lineage: Eukaryota; Viridiplantae; Streptophyta; Magnoliopsida; Asterales; Asteraceae
Description: hypothetical non coding rna
Source: RNAcentral
UGGUCGUACAAGAAGAACAGGGGGGCGAUCCCCACACAUCAAAACCCUAAAUCUUCACCAAACUUGCAAAUUGAAGGCUCAAUCCAAGUCAAAAUCGAAAAUCAAGCAUAGAUUAUUGAUCCCCAUGGCAAGAGGGUUUUUGACUCUUGACAAGCUAGAUGGAGGCUUGGGAAUGAAGCGGGUUAAACGGAGCAAGUACGAAAAGGAAAGCGUAAUUUGGAUGCGAGGUAAGUAAAACUUACACCUAAUUGUAGUAUACGUGUUUAUUUUAUAGGCGAUAAAUACAACAAAGGAUUUGGUUCGAAUUAUGGGUUCCAACACAAAACGAAUUGGGUUGGAACGAAUAGAAAUGUUUUAAACCAUGAUUAAUGGUGAAAAAGGCAAAACGGUAAACUAGUCAUGAAUUGGUUAAUAGUUUAAGAGUUUUCUUAAAGUUACCUUAUAGCGUAACUAGUAAUGGAAAAUGAGUAAGAAUGGAAAUUUAGUCAAGUAUUGACUAAAGUAAAAUAAGUUUCAAAGGACACCCAUAGCAUAAGCCGAAUGGGUUAAAAAUAUAGGAAAUUGACUUUAGAAAGAAAGGGAUCUAGUGAGAAAAUCCGAAAUGGUUCGGAUGUGUGAUUGGUAAUUAAAAACCAUGUUUUUGUUACAUAUGAAAACGUUGGGUUAUAUAGACCGAACGGGUCAAAUGGUGGGAAUAACGUCAUUUGACAAAAUCAACUAAUGUGGUGGUCAAGUCAUGUGUUACAGGAGCGAAUAGUAAUUUGGAUAAUUGCGUCGCCAUAGAAUAUCGGUCAUAAAAGCAAGGUGUUGAAAAGGGUCAUUAGGGUGACUCGAGCCAGGUACGUAUAAAUACGAUUGUGGUUAAACAUACAUUCUUUUUUUUGGGUCAAAUAAGUAGCAAAUGCCCUUCGUCGUAAAUGAGGGGCUAAAGUUGACUAAAAUGCCCUUGUUGGGUAAACCGGGCAAACAACCUUUAAAAGUUGUUGGAAAUAAGUGUUUUGGUAGAUUAAAUCCUUAAGAUAAGUAUAAAAGGGAUGUUAUGGGACCUUAGUGCAUAAAUACCCUUAACGGGUCAAAAUAAGCAUACAAACGAAAACGGGUUUAAUUUGUGUAAUAAACCGGGGAUUAUAAUCUAGUAUGAUAGACAACAUUAAGUUGAAGAAGUACAUGAGAUAUAAAGGUCAAAUACACAAGUUUGUGAUGAAAUCACGAACGGGUCAAAAGUUGAUAAAAAGGGUAAUAAGCCAAAGAUUUAAAAGUCUGAAAUUUUGUUAAAUCGGAUGUUAGAUUUUAACUCCAUAUGAUGGAGAAUCAAAUUACAAACACGUAGGAAGAAACGGUAGGUUAAACAGACGAGCGGUUUGAAAGAUACGAAAGUUUUCGUGUCAAAAACGGCAAAAAGGAAAGGAAUGAUGCAGGGGCCACCGUAACUUACGGUGCCACCGUAAGUUACGGUGGACAUGAUUUGGUUACGGUAAAUGCCUACUGUUGUACGGUUGAAUAAUUGAAACACAGAGACCACCGUAACUUACGGUGCCACCGUAAGUUACGGUGGAGGUCAGAAAUGAGUUUUUAUUUUGGGUUUAAGAUACCAUGUGGGAUUUUCCUAAUUUCCCCGUUGUAUUACUUUAAUUAAUUAUCAAAACUGACCUUUAAGUUGGUUUUGAUCACAGGUGAAUGUCGAGGGUCCCGGAUGAAGAUCGAGCAUCGAGCAAGAACCGAACACACAUUAAAUAAAGGUUCCGCAACGUUGUUUUGUCGUUAUUCUAAACGGCGAUUUAAAUCACAUUAUGUAUAUCACUUAAAUUGUAAAAGUUUUUAACCAACCUGUAUUUCCGAUGUAUAUAUAAUCAUUAAUUACAUGAUUAUUUUCGCAAAAUAUACGUUAAGCCUUGAUUUAUAAGAACGGGUCUUACAAGUUGGUAAUCAGAGCUCAAGGUUGUUGACAAAAUGUGUUCGGUUCGAGGCUUGAUCGCAAAUCCGGUAAGUACAUGUAUAUUAAUGGUUUGGUAUGUGUUGAAAUGUUGUGAACAACACAUAGGGUUAUCGUGUGAUACACGUUACCCCAAUUAAAAUGAUUGAUAUAGUUGACGAAAAUACGUGCGUUGACGCGUAUAGUAGAAAAAGCCUCGUAUUAUAAUACGGGCGAUUAUUAAAGUUGAUAUUACUAACUCUUGUGAAUGUUUUAAUUAAAGGACACUCGCGUUGAAGACGACGAGAGUCAAACGAACUGUGGAUACGAUGAUGGAACGAUCCGAAGUAUGACAAGAGGAGCAUGCUCACCGAGGACUAAAUCGCGUAAAGACCGCGAACAAGGUUAAUGGCAAGGAACGCCCGUCGGGGCAAACAUUACCAGGUGCACAUUUUAAAUAAUCGCACAAAUAGUAAUAUGCAACAAAUAAGUAGAAAUUGAAAGUUGCAUAUG